Molecule: long non-coding RNA, 2067 nt
Organism: Homo sapiens (human)
Lineage: Eukaryota; Metazoa; Chordata; Mammalia; Primates; Hominidae
Gene: RPL26L1-AS1
Product: RPL26L1 antisense RNA 1
Source: Ensembl
CCGUAGGAGCGAAGUCGAAUGGCGCCCCCAGCGGCUUGGGGUGGGAUCUCAGUGCCUCAUUCCUGGCGGCCCCGGGAGGGCGAUGCCAAGUUUCGCUCUUGUUCCCUGGGCUGCAGUGCAGUGGCACCAUCUCGGCUCACCGCAACCUCCGCCUCCCAAGUUCAAGCGAUUCUCCUGCCUCAGCCUCCCCAGUAUCUGGGAUUACAGGUAUGCGCCACCACGCCCGGCUAAUUUUGUAUUUUUAGUAGAGACGGGGUUUCUCCAUGUUGGUCAGGCUGGUCUUGAACUCCCGACCUCAGGUGAUUCUCCCGCCUCGGCCUCCCAAAGUACUGGGAUUACAGGCGUGAGCCACUGCGCCUGGCCUACUAAUACUAGGUUUUAUUCCGGGCCCUUCACAGUUAAUGUUGGAGGCCUCUGGAGGAUGGCCACACCUGGGCUAUUUGCAGAAGCCUGGACAGCACAGCAGGCAGAGUUAAAGCAGUUAAGGCAGUAUCAGCUGAAGGGCCACCCAGCUGUGCGUGUGCCCAGGCUCCAAGAAUAAGGAGGUUGGGGGGCAGUCCUAAGAAAGGAAGUCAUUACCUAUCGGCAACCCAGGAGCAGACGCUGGCAUAACGGCGCACACACAGUAAAGGUCAGAGGUUCUUCUUAGAAUAGUCCUUAGGUGUUAGUCAAACCCAUGCCCUGCCCCAAGGAGUUCAUUCAUUCAUUCACUCAUUCAUUCACUCACUCACUCACUGGUUCUGUUUAUUCACUCAUUUCUCUAUCACAUAUCCAUUUAUUGUCAUUCACCCACUUAUUUACUCAUACAUUCAUUCAUUUGCUCAUCAAUUUAUUUGGUACCUACAUGGAGCCAGGUACAGGUCUUGAUUAAAGAGAUCUGGGGAGGAGUGCUCCCAAGAAGUUCAGAGCCUCACUGGUGAAGGAAAGCCAUGUAAAGACAGAUCUUGAGAACCCAAGAUCAUCAAGGAGUAUCCAUGAUCAAGCAGAGCAGGGAAGGCUUUUUGCUUUGUUUUGUUUUGUUUUUAACAUGCUGUGUGGUUCAGUAAAAUUAAAACAGGCACAAUGAUAUCCUGGAUGACAAGAGCUGGAGGCUGUCAUUCUAACAAUGUAGUGAGACUGGCUGUCUUGUCUCAUGCCCACCCCUGGAAACAUGCGCAGGAACUCAAAGCACCUAGCACAGAGGAAGUGUCUGGUUGUUUUAAAGGAAAAACAAAACCAAAAAAAGCACCUCCUGCUCUGACCACCCCUAUUUCCAGUUUUCCCUUUUGGCACAGCAAAGAUGACCUUGGGACUGAGGUGGAACCAUGUAAUUCUUCGUAAUCCCAGAGUCAGGCAGACCUGGGUAUGAAUUCCAUCUUUACUAACUGUGUGACUCACUGUGUGGCCAUGCCAAGUUACGAGGUCUCUCUGUUUCCUCCUUCCUAAAAAGGAGAUAACAUCCAUCUCGAAGGAAGAUCUGGCCUGAAGAGCAGUCACUCUUGCCUGGCAUGCAGAGAAUGCCAAAUCAUAUUAAUGACUGGCCAGAAUGAAGUGCGUGACCUCAUCACUCCAUAACUGACAGGAAACAACUGCUAGGGCAAGAAAAAAGGGUCUCCAGUGAGUAUUCUUGUCCACACACAUCCCCACUCACGUUCCUGGACCACUGCAUCUAACUGCCGCAGCAGCUAAUGAACCUUCUGGAAUAAAGGACCAGUUUCUUAAGAAGGGAUUGAGACCUCCAGUGGCCUCCCACAUUGUUUCCGGCAAGAAUUUAAAAAUUAUUUGUAACAUAUAGUAAUAAAAACUAACCACAGGCUGGGCGCAGUGGCUCACGCCUGUAAUCCCAGCACUUUGGGAGGCUGAGGCAGGUGGAUCACCUGAGGUCAGGAGUUCGAGACCAGCCUGACCAAUAUGGUGAAACCCUGUUUCUCCUAAAAAUACAAAAAUUAGCUGGGCAUGGUGGUGGGCGCCUGUAAUCUCAGCUACUCAGGAGGCUGAAACAGGAGAACUGCUUGAAUCUGGGAGGUAGAUGUUGCAGUGAGCCGAUAUCGCGCCAUUGCACUCCAGCCUGGGCAAUGACUCCGUCUC